This 466-nucleotide ribosomal RNA is filed under the name uncultured bacterium. RNAcentral describes it as "partial 16S ribosomal RNA". It matches the Rfam family "Bacterial small subunit ribosomal RNA", at positions 28 to 507 of the family's 1533-position model. The record is from RNAcentral.
GACGAACGCUGGCGGCGUGCUUAACACAUGCAAGUCGAACGGAAAGGCCCUGCUUUUGUGGGGUGCUCGAGUGGCGAACGGGUGAGUAACACGUGAGUAACCUGCCCUUGACUUUGGGAUAACUUCAGGAAACUGGGGCUAAUACCGGAUAGGAGCUCCUGCUGCAUGGUGGGGGUUGGAAAGUUUCGGCGGUUGGGGAUGGACUCGCGGCUUAUCAGCUUGUUGGUGGGGUAGUGGCUUACCAAGGCUUUGACGGGUAGCCGGCCUGAGAGGGUGACCGGACACAUGGAGUGUGAGACGCGGCCGAGACUCAUGGGGGGGGGAGGAGGGGAGAAUAUUGCAAAGGGCGGGAGCCCGUUGUAGAACAGCGCCGUGUGGGAGAAGGGGGCUUGGGGGGUAAAAAGCGUUUGCCCCUGUGAAAAAGCGAGAGACGGGAUAAGGUAUAGAAAAACAGGCGCAAUCCGUG